RNAcentral lists this long non-coding RNA (4704 nucleotides) under Homo sapiens (human). RNAcentral's name for it is "long non-coding RNA NONHSAT151616.1". The record is from RNAcentral. Lineage: Eukaryota; Metazoa; Chordata; Mammalia; Primates; Hominidae.
CUGCUUCUGGCGCCCCGCUGGACCCUGCUUCGAAGGGACCGUUUGGUCGCCAGAGGGCGGUUCCUGGAGUUACAGCCGCGUUUGCGGGACGUGUCUGCGCGGCAGUCCUGGCCUGUUGAGCUUGUCCAGACGAAGCCUCGCAGGGAUGGGUUGGAGCCUGGGCCGGGCUUCGCUCAGGCAGCGUUUGAGGCAGACCCAGCAGGGUCCUCCUGGGGCCUUCCUGCCUUUGAACUGCGGUGGCGGGCGGGCGCACGGUCUCCUGUACGCCCUAGACUAGGGGCCGCCAUCUCCAUGGCCACGGCCGUGAGCCGGCCCUGCGCCGGCAGGUCGCGGGACAUACUGUGGCGCAUUCUUUCAGUGACCUGUAUAGUUCCUAUGUAAUCUUUUACUUCCUGCUGCUGUCAGUGGUAAUAAUAAUAAUAAGUAUUUUCAAUGUGGAGUUCUAUGCAGUUGUGCCUUCUAUUCCUUGCUCCAGACUAGCUCUGAUAGGGAAGAUCAUUCAUCCUCAGCAACUCAUGCACUCAUUUAUUCAUGCUGCAAUGGGAAUGGUGAUGGCCUGGUGUGCUGCAGUGAUAACCCAGGGCCAGUACAGCUUUCUUGUGGUUCCCUGCACUGGUACUAACAGCUUUGGUAGCCCUGCUGCGCAAACCUGCUUAAAUGAAUAUCAUCUUUUUUUCCUACUGACUGGAGCAUUUAUGGGCUAUAGCUAUAGCCUCCUGUAUUUUGUUAACAACAUGAACUAUCUUCCAUUUCCCAUCAUACAGCAAUACAAGUUCUUGCGUUUUAGGAGAUCUCUGCUCUUAUUAGUUAAACACAGUUGUGUGGAAUCACUGUUCCUGGUUAGAAAUUUCUGCAUUUUAUAUUAUUUUCUUGGCUAUAUUCCCAAAGCUUGGAUUAGCACUGCUAUGAACCUUCACAUAGAUGAGCAGGUUCAUAGGCCACUUGACACAGUGAGUGGCCUCUUAAAUCUCUCGUUACUCUACCAUGUCUGGCUGUGUGGUGUCUUUCUCCUGACGACUUGGUAUGUCUCAUGGAUACUCUUCAAAAUCUAUGCCACAGAGGCUCAUGUGUUUCCUGUUCAACCACCAUUUGCAGAAGGGUCAGAUGAGUGCCUUCCAAAAGUGUUAAAUAGCAAUCCUCCCCCCAUCAUAAAGUAUUUAGCCUUGCAGGACCUGAUGUUGCUUUCUCAAUAUUCUCCUUCACGAAGACAAGAAGUUUUCAGCCUCAGCCAACCAGGUGGACAUCCCCACAAUUGGACAGCCAUUUCAAGGGAGUGUUUGAAUCUUUUAAAUGGUAUGACUCAGAAACUGAUUCUCUAUCAAGAAGCUGCUGCUACGAAUGGGAGAGUGUCUUCAUCUUACCCAGUGGAACCUAAGAAAUUAAAUUCUCCAGAAGAAACUGCUUUUCAGACACCAAAAUCUAGCCAGAUGCCUCGGCCUUCAGUGCCACCAUUAGUUAAAACAUCACUGUUUUCUUCAAAAUUAUCUACACCUGAUGUUGUGAGCCCAUUUGGGACCCCAUUUGGCUCUAGUGUAAUGAAUCGGAUGGCUGGAAUUUUUGAUGUAAACACCUGCUAUGGGUCACCGCAAAGUCCUCAGCUAAUAAGAAGGGGGCCAAGAUUGUGGACAUCAGCUUCUGAUCAGCAAAUGACUGAAUUUUCUAAUCCUUCUCCAUCUACCUCUAUUAGUGCUGAGGGUAAGACAAUGAGACAACCCAGUGUGAUUUAUUCAUGGAUUCAGAAUAAACGUGAACAGAUUAAGAAUUUCUUGUCAAAACGGGUGCUGAUAAUGUAUUUUUUCAGUAAGCACCCAGAGGCCUCCAUUCAGGCUGUUUUUUCAGAUGCCCAAAUGCAUAUUUGGGCAUUAGAAGGUCUGUCGCACUUAGUAGCAGCAUCAUUUACAGAGGAUAGAUUUGGAGUUGUCCAGACGACACUACCAGCUAUCCUUAAUACUUUGUUGACACUGCAAGAGGCAGUCGACAAGUACUUUAAGCUUCCUCAUGCUUCCAGUAAACCACCCCGGAUUUCAGGAAGCCUUGUGGACACUUCAUAUAAAACAUUAAGAUUUGCAUUCAGAGCAUCACUGAAAACUGCCAUCUAUCGAAUAACUACUACAUUUGGUGAACAUCUGAAUGCUGUGCAAGCAUCUGCAGAACAUCAGAAAAGACUUCAACAGUUCUUGGAGUUCAAAGAAUAGUUAAGUAAUAUAAACUGUGUUCAUUACACUGCUGAUACAACUACAGAUGGGACAGUAAAUGUUCAGCAUUCUUGGAUCAGAAGAAAACGGACUAAUUAGAUGCUUCCUUUGUCGUGGUGGUUGCUUUGAAAACUAUACUUUAAUGGGAGAAAUCAUGGAAAGAAAUUCUCAACAGAAUAACUGAAAACUGCCUUUUCUGUACCGAUUGCUUUUUGUGUGUGUGGUAUAAUAAAAUCUUUAUUCAAUUUUACAGAAGCAUUGAUGGCAGUCGAAAUGUCUCUAGCUCAUAUAACUUAAUAGUAAUAACUAAAAAACUUUUAGAAUUUACUUUUGAAAGGAGGGAAGCCAGUUCUGAAAUGAGUAUAGGUUGAUUUCAUAGUCUUCUUAAUUAAGAGUUUAGCUCUUUGUAAACUCAAAAUACAUAAACUUUUUAAGUGUAGUUUCAUUUACUGAAGGAUAAAAAUGGUAACAGUGCAGCAAUAUUCACAAAAAAUAUUGUCUAACGGACAUAUUUUGUUAAUCUGUUAGGUUGGGUUUUUGUUUCCAGGGACAAAUUAAAUUUGUAUGAUUACCCAAAAAAGGGUCUCAGUUUACAGAUGCUAACUCUAUAUAAAGGAAUGUGGAAAAACUCAGUUCUUAAGUUACAAGAUUAAAAAUUCACAUUUGGUCUUUAAGAAACAAUUGACUGACAUCUAUGAAUUUAUUUUGUAUCAUGCUAGUAAACACGAAGUAUUAAUGUAUGGGUAUUUUCCCAGCUAGUUUUGCUUUCUUUUUCUGGAGCAAAACAUUAAGUGAUUGCAGAGUUUUUCAAGCAAGAGAAAAAGGUUUGCAAAAAAACCCAGGAAAUGUUCCCUUUUUUCCCCACCAUUCAUCUUCAUUAGAUCAAAUUCUGUGAAACUUGUCUGGUCUCUCAAAGGGAGCAGCCUCUGUAGUGUUAAAUGGCUAAUUAAAAUAGGAAGAUCUUUAUAGCCAGAAACAACUUAGUCAUCAAAUAGCAAGUGAAACCAAAACGUCAGAGGGAUUACUGUACUUGGAAGUAUGUUGUGUGUCCCAAAUGUGAACGAAGUAUUGUUAGAAUUUAUUAGAUCAGCUUCUUUGGAGAUCAAAGAUUGGAAAUCCUAGUCAUAGAUAUUCACUGGACUGGCUUUGGACUGAAAUGCUCCUUUGUAAUUCUUUUCCUAUUGUCUUUUCCUUCUAGUGUCCCAAAAUAUUUUCUUUAAAGUCAGCACAGUACUGUAUAUGAAUCUUUAAUGUGGUAUCAUAUAUGUCUACUUUUGUCUGAUUCAUCGAUGUAUUAUAUCUUUAUAAUUGAAUAUUUUAGCUCCGGGUCCUGUUGCCCCUUCAAGCAGUACAUGCCAAAUUAUAAAUAGGUGCUACUGGCCUUGAGCAUAUCACUGUGGGACAGUUCCCCAAUUGUCAAGUGUUUAGAUAUGUAGACUAUUGCCAUUUGUUUUUUUGUUUUGGUUUUGCUUUGUGUCUGAAGCUGAAUUGAUUUCUUUUUUUUGAAUGUGAAAGUUGAAUUUCAAACGUAGUCAUUUCUUACAGAUGGCCAAGACAGAAAAUUGUGGCUAGGUUGACUGAGAACUGUUGUCUUCCAUGUAUUAACACAAUUAAGCUUUUUAUAUUCCACUCUCUGUGCUGACCCUGGCUGAGGCAUUUUGGGAGACAAGGACUCUGAAUCUUCUGCUUCCAUUAAAGAAGAACUGUGAUAUUCAACAUUGGAUUUCUGAGAAUAAAGAUAGGAUGAUUCCUUUGAACUUUGACUUACUUGUAUAAAAUGUCCAGCUAGGUUAGGUUUUUGCCAUUUCCUAUAUACUUUGGGUAAAGCUACAUUUGAUGAGCAAUGUGAAUGUUUCUGAGAAUGUUCAUUCCUGUUUUCUCUUAAGAGAAUGUGCUGUGUACUAAAUACAGGCCACAUAGUGUCUGCCUGUUGAAGAUCUGGAAACUGCCUCCCCAGAUCUGUAUUGUAUUUGGUAGGUAAGGGGGUCAGUUUCUUUUUCUCAUUGUGUGUUGAUAAUCUACACACCAUCUGUUGGAACCAGGGUGUUAUUAUGGGGAACUCCUCCUGUGUACUAGGAGGAGGACCUUAGGGAGACCAAGAGGAGAGAAGCAUUUCCUUUGAUGAAGUCACAUCCUGUCUAUGAGCCCACUAAUGCUGUAACAUUGGCCUGAAAGAGAGUGUUCUUUAAAAGCCUUUCUCGGCUGUUAGUAUAAAAACAUGAUGGUAUCAGCUCUUAGCAUGUUUGCUUGACCCUUAUGGAAGGUAUAAAUCCACAGAACUUCCUUCCCAGAGAACUGGGAAAUUGUCCUAGAAAUAAACCUUGUACAGUUGAGUGGACAUGGAUAAGCAACAAUUUGUUACUUUGCAGGAUUUGUUCCUUGGUAAUUGUUUGGUGUGUCAUCCUGUAAAUAUUCAUGAUAGUCUGUUUAUAUCCUUUUGUAUAUCGUUGAUACUGGAUUGGGUAGAAAAAUAAAUUGGCAAUUUAAAAAAAUGGAACAGUUAAUUGAA